Molecule: ribosomal RNA, 1321 nt
Filed under: uncultured bacterium
Lineage: Bacteria
Description: bacterial SSU rRNA
Rfam family: Bacterial small subunit ribosomal RNA
Source: RNAcentral
GGAUGAACGUUGGCGGUGUGCCUAAUACAUGCAAGUCGAACGGAGCUAAUAGCAAUAUUGGCUCAGUGGCGAACGGGUGAGUAACGCGUUGGUGAUCUGCCUUGAAGUGUGGAAUAACGUUUCGAAGGGAACGCUAAUACCGCAUGUGCUCUCGAUUUUCAGAAAGUUGAGAGUAAAGGAUUUAUUCGCUUCAAGAGGAGCCUGCGUCCCAUCAGCUGGUUGGUAGGGUAACGGCCUACCAAGGCUAUGACGGGUAGGGGACCUGAGAGGGUGGCCCCCCACAAUGGAACUGAAACACGGUCCAUACACCUACGGGUGGCAGCAGUAGGGAAUAUUAGAAAUGGACGAAAGUCUGAUCUAGCAACACCGCGUGUGCGAAGAAGGCCUUCGGGUCGUAAAGCACUUUUUGGAAGGAAUAGGAAGGAAUGUACUUCCAGAAUAAGUCUCGGCUAACUACGUGCCAGCAGCCGCGGUAACACGUAGGAGGCAAACGUUAUCCGGAUUUACUGGGCGUAAAGCGCGUGUAGGUGGUUUGGUAAGUAGGGCGUGAAAGCUCCUGGCUCAACUGGGAGAGGACGUUCUAAACUGCCAAGCUUGAGGAUGGUAGAGGGAGGUGGAAUUCCGGGUGUAGCGGUGGAAUGCGCAGAUAUCCGGAGGAACACCAGUGGCGAAGGCGGCCUCCUGGACCACUCCUGACACUCAGACGCGAAAGCUAGGGUAGCAAACGGGAUUAGAGACCCCGGUAGUCCUAGCCCUAAACGAUGUAGACUUGGCGUCGGUGGUUUAAUCGCCAUCGGUGUCGUAGCUAACGCGAUAAGUCUACCGCCUGGGGACUACGGCCGCAAGGUUAAAACUAAAAGGAAUUGACGGGUCCCCGCACAAGCAGCGGAGCGUGUGGUUUAAUUCGAUGCUACACGAAGAACCUUACCUGGGUUUGACAUAGAGGUAGUAGGGAAGCGAAAGCGGACCGACCCUUCGGGGAGCCUCUACAGGUGUUGCAUGGCUGUCGUCAGCUCGUGUCGUGAGAUGUUCGGUUAAGUCCGCUAACGAGCGCAACCCUCGCUGUGUGUUACAAGUGUCACACGGUACUGCCGAUAUUAAGUCGGAGGAAGGUGGGGAUGACGUCAAGUCAGCAUGACCUUUAUAUCCAGGGCUACACACACGCUACAAUGGCCAGUACAAAGGGCAGCUACACCGCGAGGUGAUGCUAAUCUCGAAACCCGGUCUCAGUUCGGAUCGAAGUCUGCAACCCGACUUCGUGAAGUUGGAUUCGCUAGUAACCGCGCAUCAGCCACGGCGCGGUGAAUACGUUCCCGGGCCU